AUUUUGCGUUUAGAUGAAAAUUAGGUUGUUUCUGAAAAUAAGGUAAAUAUUAUUUAGAUUGUUAAAUUGGAACGGAAGGAAUAAAAGUUACAAUUUUAAAUUAAAAAUAAUUUAUAUAAUUAAUUAACAUAAAACUAUUAAUUAAAAAUAAUUUAAUAAAUUAAUAAAUUUUUUAACUAUGAAUAUUAUAUAAGAGAAUAAAAAUAUAUUAAUUAAUUAAUUAAAUAUAAACAUAAUUUAAUUUUUAAUUAGUUAGUAAAUUAUUUUAAUUAGAUAACUAACAAAAAAAUUAUUUAGAUAAUAAAAAAUUAAUGAUUGAUCAAAUAUAAAUAUUAGUUUAUGAAUAAACAUAUUAAAUUAUUAAUAAUUAAUUAGCUAAUUAAUUAUAAUUUAUUUAUUUAUUUAUUUAUUAUUUUAGCAAAGGAUAAUGAUUUUAAUAUAUUAAUUAGAUUAAUUAAUAAUUUAAUAUCAUAAUUAAAAUUAAAUUUAGACUUUAACUAAGCUUAUUCUCCAAUUGGGAAUAAGUUUGUUCUAGGAAAAAGGGUGGAACAGCAAUUCGAAACUUAUAUCAGAUUAUACCGGCUUAUUGAUCCAGAGAGUCGAGAAUUACUGUUAUCGAGUACCAAAAAUUACGUUUGGGAACAAAGGAGAAAAAUAAGGGCUUAUUCCCUCUCUCAUUCCCAAACCAAACGCCCCCAUAAUGAAUAAUAAAAAUGAAAAAAAAAAUGUAGAAAGAUCCCUUAUAUUUUCUGGCAAUUAGGUAUAGUAUACUGAACUUUAGUAAAUUGCAUUGU
RNAcentral lists this long non-coding RNA (794 nucleotides) under Ananas comosus (pineapple). RNAcentral describes it as "long non-coding RNA (ACOM_LNC032574)". Lineage: Eukaryota; Viridiplantae; Streptophyta; Magnoliopsida; Poales; Bromeliaceae. The record is from RNAcentral.